RNAcentral lists this ribosomal RNA (521 nucleotides) under uncultured bacterium. RNAcentral describes it as "bacterial SSU rRNA". It matches the Rfam family "Bacterial small subunit ribosomal RNA", at positions 26 to 518 of the family's 1533-position model. The record is from RNAcentral.
AGGACGAACGCUGGCGGCGUGCCUAAUACAUGCAAGUCGAACGGUCUUUCUAUGGAAGCUUGCUUCCGCUGAGAAGAUAGUGGCGAACGGGUGAGUAACACGUGGGUAACCUGCCCAUAAGAGGGGGGAUAACAUCCGGAAACGGGUGCUAAUACCGCAUAGUUUUCUUGAUCGCAUGAUCGGGAAAGAAAAGACGGCCUUUGUGCUGUCGCUUAUGGAUGGACCCGCGGCGUAUUAGUUAGUUGGUGAGGUAACGGCUCACCAAGACGAUGAUACGUAGCCGACCUGAGAGGGUGAUCGGCCACAUUGGGACUGAGACACGGCUCAAACUCCUACGGGAGGCAGCAGUAGGGAAUUUUCCGCAAUGGACGAAAGUCUGACGGAGCAACGCCGCGUGAGUGAAGAAAAGGUUUUCGGAUCGUAAAACUCUGUUGUCAGAGAAGAACAAGUUGGAGAGUAACUGCUCCAGCCUUGACGGUAUCUGACCAGAAAGCCACGGCUAACUACGUGCCAGCCGCAGC